UACGUAGGGGGCUAGCGUUGUCCGGAAUCAUUGGGCGUAAAGAGCGUGUAGGCGGUCCGGUAAGUCCGCUGUGAAAGUCGGGGGCUCAACCCUCGAAUGCCGGUGGAUACUGUCGGGCUAGAGUGCGGAAGAGGCGAGUGGAAUUCCUGGUGUAGCGGUGAAAUGCGCAGAUAUCAGGAGGAACACCUAUUGCGAAGGCAGCUCGCUGCCAUUCCUGACGCUGAGACGCGAAAGCUAGGGGAGCGAACAGG
This 251-nucleotide ribosomal RNA is filed under the name uncultured bacterium. RNAcentral describes it as "partial 16S ribosomal RNA". It matches the Rfam family "Bacterial small subunit ribosomal RNA", at positions 524 to 776 of the family's 1533-position model. The record is from RNAcentral.